Molecule: non-coding RNA, 797 nt
Organism: Paramuricea clavata
Lineage: Eukaryota; Metazoa; Cnidaria; Anthozoa; Malacalcyonacea; Plexauridae
Source: the annotation of a GenBank genome assembly
CCGACAAUCUACGAAGGGGCAUACUUCACAAAGUGGACAAAAACGCAUCAAAGUGUAGUAUUAAUUGGGGAUUCAGUUAUCUAGAGGAAAAAACUACAAAAGUUUAUAUACCCUGAGAAGACAGGAGAGGAAAUAGAUCGGGAGAUCCGAUACAAAGGCUCUAACAUAAAGGCCACGCAUGUUAUACUGUAGUUCAUUGUGGCACGAACAACCUAACAACUGAUGCAGCAAAUGUUUGUGUCCGCAAAAUUCAACAACAAUGUAUGACGGCGAUAAAGGUAUUUCCAAAUGCGCAGAUUGGUGUGAUGAUAUCCUUGUCCAUGAUAAAAUAAGAGAUGUAAACAAUGCAAUUAAAGAAGUGUGUGUAACAAAUAAUUACUCUUUUAUACACCAUAAUAAUAUUGAUGAGUCAUGUUUAAACAAAAAUGAGUUGCAGUUGAAUGCAAAAGGAUCCGCUCUACUUGCGGUUGAUUUUAUAAAUUUCUUACGUGGAAGGAAACGAUUAUCACACAUCAAUAAGCAAAAAAUUUGGUUGGAAGAAACAUUACGCCUAUUGGGAACUGUGCUUGGGAUGGCGAGAAGGCGGACUCUCUAACAUUAAGUUGUUUGAACUCUGAACCCAAUAUUUCAUAUUUAGUGCCAACCAAUACGACUUCAAUGGAACUUGAUAAUGAUUCAGUUUCGAUGAAUUCAACUUUUCAAUCGAUUGAUUUCAAUUUUUCUAACUUAAAGGGUUUGAAGCAGUGACGUAGCCAAGGGAGCGAGGGGGCAACCGCACACCCAAUCGAAAAAAAUCC